UAAUGAUGACCAAUGGGAAAGGUAACUUA
RNAcentral lists this non-coding RNA (29 nucleotides) under Rattus norvegicus (Norway rat). The record is from RNAcentral. Lineage: Eukaryota; Metazoa; Chordata; Mammalia; Rodentia; Muridae.